This 407-nucleotide ribosomal RNA is filed under the name uncultured bacterium. Its description in RNAcentral is "partial 16S ribosomal RNA". It matches the Rfam family "Bacterial small subunit ribosomal RNA", at positions 28 to 526 of the family's 1533-position model. The record is from RNAcentral.
GACGAACGCUGGCGGCGUGCCUAAUACAUGCAAGUAGGACGCAGUUUCGAACGGGUGAUUAACGCGUAGGUAACUACCUAUUAGAGGGGGACAACUAUUGGAAACGAUAGCUAAUACCGCAUACUAGUAGAUGGACCUGCGUUGUAUUAGCUAGUAGGUAGGGUAAUGGCCUACCUAGGCAACGAUACAUAGCCGACCUGAUAGGGUGUUCUGUCACACUGAGAAUGAGUAACAGCCAAAGAUCCUUCGGGACGCAGCCAGAGGGAAGCUUCGGGAAUGGGGGAUAGUCUGAACGCGCAACGCCGCGGGAGUGAAGAAGUUUUUCGGUUCGUAAAGCUCUGUUGUUAAGGAAGCGGUACUUAACCAGAAUGGCACGGCUAACUAUGUGCCAGCAGCCGCGGUAAUUC